This is a long non-coding RNA of Ictalurus punctatus (channel catfish), 570 nucleotides long. NCBI's taxonomy places the organism in Eukaryota, Metazoa, Chordata, Actinopteri, Siluriformes, Ictaluridae. The record is from Ensembl.
UGCAGUGUGUAUAAAGGACUGGGGGCUGAUGAAACCAGAGCAGAGAAGUAAUCUUACCUGCUAGAUGUGACAAUCAGCGCCACUCAUCAACAGCCUGCUGCUACCUCAAGGCCUGGCUCCUGUGGAGGCAGCCAGAGGAGAGAGACGUCCUUUCUGUCCGUUCCAGAAGACCAGUGCUGAUGAUCAGCCUCGAGGCACACCUGAACACAGCUGUCAAAAGUUCCUCAGCAGGUCAGUGAAGCCACAAUAUCAUAUACAUCACUUAUAAUCCAGAUUUUGUAGUGUUAUUUAUUUAUCUAUCCUUGCAUGAAUAUACUUUAUUAUUACUCCAACAAGAAUGCUUGAUAUCGCAGUGUUAUUGCAGUGCUGGUUCAGCAGCUAAGGUUUUGUGCUACUGAUCAGAAGGUCAUUAGUUCAAGCUCCAGCACUGCCAAGCUGCUACUGUUGGGCUUUUGAGUGAGACCCUUGGCCUUCUCUGCUCCAGCGGCGCUGUAUCGCUGACCCCAGCUUCCUAACAAGCUAGGAUAUGUGCAGAAAAGAAUUGCACGCUACUGUACAUGUAUACGUGAC